RNAcentral lists this ribosomal RNA (509 nucleotides) under SRB bacterium enrichment culture clone SRtB-otu3-10. Its description in RNAcentral is "bacterial SSU rRNA". It matches the Rfam family "Bacterial small subunit ribosomal RNA", at positions 29 to 527 of the family's 1533-position model. The record is from RNAcentral.
AUGAACGCUAGCGAUAGGCCUAACACAUGCAAGUCGAGGGGCAGCACAUGAAGYAGCAAURCGGAUGGUGGCGACCGGCGCACGGGUGAGUAACGCGUAUGCAACCUACCUACAACAGGGGRAUAACCCGUUGAAAGACGGACUAAUACCCCAUAACACAGGGGUCCCGCAUGGGAAUAUUUGUUAAAGAUUAAUCGGUUGUAGAUGGGCAUGCGUUCCAUUAGCUGGUUGGUGAGGUAACGGCUCACCAAGGCAACGAUGGAUAGGGGAACUGAGAGGUUUAUCCCCCACACUGGUACUGAGACACGGACCAGACUCCUACGGGAGGCAGCAGUGAGGAAUAUUGGUCAAUGGACGCAAGUCUGAACCAGCCACGUCGCGUGAAGGAAGACGGCCCUACGGGUUGUAAACUUCUUUUGUAAGGGAAUAAAGUGAGUCACGUGUGAUUUAUUGCAUGUACCUUACGAAUAAGGAUCGGCUAACUCCGUGCCAGCAGCCGCGGUAAUUCA